This 551-nucleotide small RNA is filed under the name Pongo abelii (Sumatran orangutan). Its description in RNAcentral is "retained intron". Lineage: Eukaryota; Metazoa; Chordata; Mammalia; Primates; Hominidae. The record is from RNAcentral.
AUGUUUGAAUUAUUAAAGACUUUAUUUUCCAAGAUUAUUCCCUACCACUAUGACCCUGAGGGAGCUAAUUCUUACAUUUUAUUUUCUUCAGCUGUUUGAUGUUGAUGAGGAUGGCUACAUAACGGAGGAAGAGUUCUCCACCAUUCUACAGGCUUCCCUUGGAGUGCCUGACCUUGACGUUUCUGGUCUCUUCAAGGAAAUAGCCCAAGGGGACUCAAUUUCCUAUGAGGAAUUUAAAAGUUUUGCCUUAAAGCAUCCAGAAUAUGCUAAGAUAUUUACAACAUACCUAGACCUCCAGACGUGCCAUGUGUUUUCAUUACCAAAAGAAGUCCGGACAACCCCUUCCACCGCCAGUAAUAAAGUCGGCCCUGAAAAGCAUGAAGAGAGUACCUCAGACAAAAAAGACGACUGAAAGCAGUAUUUCCAAUAAGGAAAACACAGUAGCUUUUGCUUGAAAUUGUAAAGGCACUUAUUGAUAAUACUUUUAAUGUGUUGGUAAUGAUGUUUAAAAUUGAAAGAUUUUAAAAAUAAAAAUGAUAGAUUUUCUUACU